GAGGAUAUAGAUUAGUGGUAGAGCUUUCGACUGCUGAUCGAGAGGUCCUCGGUUCAAACCCGGGUGUUCUCU
This 72-nucleotide transfer RNA is filed under the name Trichonephila inaurata madagascariensis. It matches the Rfam family "tRNA". From Rfam's summary of the family: Transfer RNA (tRNA) molecules are approximately 80 nucleotides in length. Their secondary structure includes four short double-helical elements and three loops (D, anti-codon, and T loops). The record is from Rfam by way of RNAcentral. Lineage: Eukaryota; Metazoa; Arthropoda; Arachnida; Araneae; Nephilidae.